AGCAGCCGCGGUAAUUCCAGCUCCAAUAGCGUAUAUUAAAGUUGUUGCAGUUAAAAAGCUCGUAGUUGAAUUUCGGGGUCAGCAAGUUGGUCGUGCCAACGGUAUGCACUGGCUUUACUGAUUCCUCCUUCUUGUAGAACUGUAAUGCCAUUAAUUUGGUGUUGCAGGGAAACAGGACUGUUACUUUGAAAAAUUAGAGUGUUUAAAGCAGGCUUACGCUUGAAUACAUUAGCAUGGAAUAAUGAAAUAGGACGUUGAUCCUAUUUUGUUGGUUUCUAGGAUUGACGUAAUGAUUAAUAGGGAUAGUUGGGGGCAUUAGUAUUCAAUUGUCAGAGGUGAAAUUCUUGGAUUUAUUGAAGACUAACUACUGCGAAAGCAUUUGCCAAGGAUGUUUUCAUUAAUCAAGAACGAAGUUAGGGGAUCGAAGACGAUCAGAUACCGUCGUAGUCUUAACCAUAAACC
RNAcentral lists this ribosomal RNA (462 nucleotides) under uncultured Glomus. RNAcentral describes it as "SSU rRNA". It matches the Rfam family "Eukaryotic small subunit ribosomal RNA", at positions 569 to 1038 of the family's 1831-position model. Lineage: Eukaryota; Fungi; Glomeromycota; Glomeromycetes; Glomerales; Glomeraceae. The record is from RNAcentral.